This 440-nucleotide ribosomal RNA is filed under the name uncultured bacterium. RNAcentral describes it as "partial 16S ribosomal RNA". It matches the Rfam family "Bacterial small subunit ribosomal RNA", at positions 338 to 795 of the family's 1533-position model. The record is from RNAcentral.
CCUACGGGGUGCAGCAGUGGGGAAUAUUGCACAAUGGGGGCAACCCUGAUGCAGCGACGCCGCGUGAGUGAAGAAGUAAUUCGUUAUGUAAAGCUCUAUCAGCAGGGAAGAAAAUGACGGUACCUGAGUAAGAAGCCCCGGCUAACUUCGUGCCAGCAGCCGCGGUAAAACGUCGGGGGCAAGCGUUAUCCGGAUUUACCGGGGGUAAAGGGAGCGUGGACGGGCGUGCAAGGCUGGGGUGAAAGGCGGGGGCUCAACCCCCGGACUGCUGUGGAACCUGGAGGGCUGGAGUGCAGGAGAGGUAAGUGGAAUUCCUGGUGUAGCGGUGAAAUGCGUAGAGAUUAGGAGGAACACCAGUGGCGAAGGCGGCUUACUGGACUGUAACUGACGUUGAGGCUCGAAAGCGUGGGGAGCAAACAGGAUUAGAUACCCCUGUAGUC